This 400-nucleotide ribosomal RNA is filed under the name uncultured bacterium. Its description in RNAcentral is "bacterial SSU rRNA". It matches the Rfam family "Bacterial small subunit ribosomal RNA", at positions 355 to 772 of the family's 1533-position model. The record is from RNAcentral.
UGGGGAAUAUUGGACAAUGGGCGAAAGCCUGAUCCAGCAAUGCCGCGUGAGUGAUGAAGGCCUUAGGGUUGUAAAGCUCUUUUACCCGGGAUGAUAAUGACAGUACCGGGAGAAUAAGUCCCGGCUAACUCAGUGCCAGCAGCCGCGGUAAUACGAAGGGGGCUAGCGUUGUUCGGAAUUACUGGGCGUAAAGCGCACGUAGGCGGAUUGUUUAGUUAGGGGUGAAAUCCCGGGGCUCAACCCCGGAACUGCCUUUAAUACUGGCAAUCUAGAGUCCGAGAGAGGUGAGUGGAAUUCCGAGUGUAGAGGUGAAAUUCGUAGAUAUUCGGAUGAACACCAGUGGCGAAGGCGGCUCACUGGCUCGGUACUGACGCUGAGGUGCGAAAGCGUGGGGAGCAAA